GACUACAGCCAUGCCACCCUGAACAAGCCUGAUCUCAUCUGAUCUCGAAAGCUAAGCAGGGUCAGGCCUGGUUAGUACUUGGAUUUUAUACCACCUAGGAAUACCUGGGGCUGUAGGCU
RNAcentral lists this ribosomal RNA (119 nucleotides) under Pteropus alecto (black flying fox). Lineage: Eukaryota; Metazoa; Chordata; Mammalia; Chiroptera; Pteropodidae. The record is from RNAcentral.